AACGCAAAUUGCGCUCGAGGCUUCGGCCGAGAGCAUGCCUGCCUCAGCGUCGGCUUACUCUCUCGCCUCCCCUUUCUCUCCUCUUUGCGGAGGAAGACAAAGCGGGAGCGGACCUGGUCGUGUCGGCUGCCCAGGAGCAGCCGGGUCGGCCGAAAUAGAGAGGCUUGAGCACGGCCCCGCUGAACAGAGCGGCAGCUUGGUAGGUGGAGUCUGCCUCUGCAUACCGCUGCCGCGCUGGGGGCCGCUUGCUGGGAGCCGGCUGGAACAGGCGCAAAUGUUGUCGCCUGCAACUCUCAAAUUUCGACCUGAGCUCAGGCAAGAGCACCCGCUGAACUUAA
RNAcentral lists this unclassified non-coding RNA (338 nucleotides) under uncultured fungus. RNAcentral describes it as "partial contains 5.8S ribosomal RNA, internal transcribed spacer 2, and large subunit ribosomal RNA". The record is from RNAcentral. Lineage: Eukaryota; Fungi.